GACGGAGGAGGCAAGCGUUAUCCGGAAUUAUUGGGCGUAAAGCGUCCGCAGGCGGUUUUUUAAGUCUGUUGUCAAAGGUUACAGCUCAACUGUGGAUCGGCAAUGGAAACUGGGAGACUAGAGUGUGGUAGGGGUAGAGGGAAUUCCCGGUGUAGCGGUGAAAUGCGUAGAUAUCGGGAAGAACACCAGUGGCGAAGGCGCUCUACUGGGCCACAACUGACGCUGAGGGACGAAAGCUAGGGGAGCGAAAGGG
Molecule: ribosomal RNA, 253 nt
Filed under: uncultured bacterium
Lineage: Bacteria
Description: partial 16S ribosomal RNA
Rfam family: Bacterial small subunit ribosomal RNA
Source: RNAcentral